This is a long non-coding RNA of Quercus robur (English oak), 357 nucleotides long. RefSeq lists it as uncharacterized. Lineage: Eukaryota; Viridiplantae; Streptophyta; Magnoliopsida; Fagales; Fagaceae. The transcript is spliced from 3 exons. The record is from RefSeq and is a predicted model, not a curated record.
AGGUGAAUGAUACAGUUGGGACAUUAGCUGGAGGUAGAUAUUCAUGUGUUUGUGAAUGAUACAAUUGUUGCUGCUGUUAUCUUGGAGCCAAGUCCUUGUGGAAAUCAGUUUCUGGGUAUUCCUCUUCAAAAUUGCUGGAAGUGCCAACUGGGUUUUCUUUCUCAACAUUUAAAAAGCAUCUGUUAUUUGCCAUAUCAGCAAUUUCUAGCUUAUCUAACCAUUGGGGCUGCUACCUAUUUUCUUUGAGCACCAGCUUGUGAAGAAUAAAGGUUUUGAUUCCAAAAAAUGGGUGAUUUUCAGUGUGAAUGAUCUGGUGAGUGGGCAGACCAUAUUACCUUACAAGCAGCAGCUGAUAAG